AGUGAACGCUGGCGGUAGGCCUAACACAUGCAAGUCGAACGGCAGCACAGUAAGAGCUUGCUCUUACGGGUGGCGAGUGGCGGACGGGUGAGGAAUACAUCGGAAUCUACUUUUUCGUGGGGGAUAACGUAGGGAAACUUACGCUAAUACCGCAUACGACCUACGGGUGAAAGCAGGGGAUCUUCGGACCUUGCGCGAUUGAAUGAGCCGAUGUCGGAUUAGCUAGUUGGCGGGGUAAAGGCCCACCAAGGCGACGAUCCGUAGCUGGUCUGAGAGGAUGAUCAGCCACACUGGAACUGAGAAACGGUCCAGACUCCUACGGGAGGCAGCAGUGGGGAAUAUUGGACAAUGGGCGCAAGCCUGAUCCAGCCAUACCGCGUGGGUGAAGAAGGCCUUCGGGUUGUAAAGCCCUUUUGUUGGGAAAGAAAAGCAGCAGGUUAAUACCCCGCUGUUCUGACGGUACCCAAAGAAUAAGCACCGGCUAACUCCGUG
RNAcentral lists this ribosomal RNA (492 nucleotides) under uncultured bacterium. RNAcentral describes it as "partial 16S ribosomal RNA". It matches the Rfam family "Bacterial small subunit ribosomal RNA", at positions 29 to 507 of the family's 1533-position model. The record is from RNAcentral.